UACGGAGGAUGCAAGCGUUAUCCGGAAUGAUUGGGCGUAAAGCGUCCGCAGGUGGCGAUGUAAGUCUGCUGUUAAAGAGUGAGGCUCAACCUCAUAAGAGCAGUGGAAACUACAUAGCUAGAGUACGUUCGGGGCAGAGGGAAUUCCUGGUGUAGCGGUGAAACGCGUAGAGAUCAGGAAGAACACCAGUGGCGAAGGCGCUCUGCUAGGCCGACACUGACACUGAGAGACGAAAGCUAGGGGAGCAAAUGGG
This 253-nucleotide ribosomal RNA is filed under the name uncultured bacterium. RNAcentral describes it as "partial 16S ribosomal RNA". It matches the Rfam family "Bacterial small subunit ribosomal RNA", at positions 524 to 776 of the family's 1533-position model. The record is from RNAcentral.